GUCCACGCCGUAAACGAUGGGUACUAGGUGUUGCGGGUAUUGACCCCUGCAGUGCCGAAGCUAACGCAUUAAGUACCCCGCCUGGGGAGUACGGUCGCAAGACUAAAACUCAAAGGAAUUGACGGGGGCCCGCACAAGCGGUGGAGCAUGUGGUUUAAUUCGACGCAACGCGAAGAACCUUACCUGGGUUUGACAUCCCGAUCGUACCUGCUGGAAACAGCGGGGUCAGUUCGGCUGGAUCGGAGACAGGUGCUGCAUGGCUGUCGU
Molecule: ribosomal RNA, 267 nt
Filed under: uncultured bacterium
Lineage: Bacteria
Description: partial 16S ribosomal RNA
Rfam family: Bacterial small subunit ribosomal RNA
Source: RNAcentral